UUCACAAUUUGAAAUAUCUUUUUUGUUCGUAUCAGUUACGAGUUCAAAAGUUCGAAUCUCUAGUCCCUACGAGUUUAAAUCAUGAACUCGAAACUGAAGAACCCGAACUCGAAAUACUUAUGGACAACUUGCAAGAUGCAGCUCAGUCAAACAAGGCAGGAAUCUUUUGGAGGUGGGCCAAUUGGUAUCUUUCUUGAUGACAUCAAUUGAAUAUUAUAAGAGGAGUCUCUGAAGCUCAGAAGCCCAGAAGCCCAGAAGCCAUGGUCGUGAAGCCGCCGGACGACGAUUCAAAUUACCGAUCAAUUACUUUCUACCAUGACAAAAUCUGUUGGAACGGGAAGCAAGUCGACGAUCCUAAUGCAAUCGAUUUGGACAUUGACAAGCAAUUCCUUGGCCUUCCUCUAUCAAGUCAGCCGUAUUCAACUUCUUCCUGAAUUUUUGAAGGUGGAAUGAUGAAUCUAUUGUUGGUUACUGGCCCAGAGAAUAGCUGCAUCGGAUAUGAGGAGAAAUUGCUCUGUGGCUCUUGGCAAUGUCAACAUCAGUAAAAAUCGUUACACGGAUGUAUUAACCCUUUGAUGAGACUAGAGGCGUACUUGACUCUUGUAAGGAUUACAGACCUUCUGCAUGGGGUUAUAUCAAUGCAAGCUUUAUUUCCGUAAGUGCAACAAUUGAUGUGCUUCUACUUAGAUAAUAUUUCAGUACAAGUUCUCUUUUGACUUUCCUCUCCAUUGUCUAUUUGAAGAUUAGUUAUUACCACACAAGGUCCAUUACCACACACCUUACGAGGAUUUCUGGAUGCGAUUUCUCGUGUGGCUCCUCGGGGCUUUGUGUUUAUUUAUUUGCUGUUCUUGAGAAGUUCUUGGCUGUUCAACGCACCAAUGUUUCAUAUGAAUUUUGAAUUGUACAUUGUUGUAUCGAUAGUGCUACUGUUUGGGUGUGACGACUUGGAGCUUCUUUCUGCAGAAGAGCUACAUACACCAAAUUCACUUCUUGUUAUUUUUAAUGGACGUAUCCUUGGCAAACAUCGGAGGCCUCAGGAGAAGAUAUUCUUGAAAUCUAGUUUUUAUAGUUUACAUUCCAUUCUCUAUGUGAUUGAAAUAUAGCAUGUUGAUUAAAAGUUUCCUACUGCCUACUUGUUUCACACUUGUCGGCUUCUCUUCCUUUAGUACUUCGCUACAGGUAUGAGAAUGCUGAGGAGAGCUGGAGAAACUGGCGAGUUUGUCAACGCCUUUGUGAAUGACAAGCAGGCUUUUGGAUGUAAGAAUUGGCGAGCCUUCUGUGACCGUGAAUGCUGUUAGUGAAUCUAUUAGUUCUCAUAUGUGCCGCUUAUUUGACCUUACUUACAGAAAGACGUGGUGAUUGGGAGGAUUCCUAUAUGCUAUGAAAACGUUGCUGUGCUUUACCCCAUUUCAGUUGUCUCCAAUUGUAUAAUUCUUCUGGAGUUUUGCAGGUUUUUGGAUGUAAGAAUUGGCGAGCCUUCUAUGACCGAGAAUGCUGUUAGUGAAUCUAUUAGUUCUCAUAUGUGCCGUUUAUCUGACCUUAUGUACAGUUCCUUCGUGAAUGUUAUUAUUAUUUAGUUGAAUACUGCAGAAAGACGGUGGUGAUUGGGAGGAGGAUGCCUAUAUGCUAUGAAGACUUUGUUGUGUUUUAUGUGAUUUCAAAGUCUCCAAUUAUCUAUGCAAGGUGAUGCAACCAAGCAUCAAAGGAUAAAAUCUCCAAGAAUUCUCAAAAGAACUUUUAUUAUGAUUCAAAAAGCAAGUUAAUCACAAGAUAUCAACCUUCUAUUUUAGUGGAUUGAUAGGUUUACCUUGCAUAUAUAAUAUGUUCCACCUUUAUUGUAAAACUGAAGUUCAUCAGAAGAGGGCUCUUAAUUGGAACCAGUCAACUGUAAUCUCACUUUGUUCCACCUUUAUUGGACCAAUUCCUAUGGUUAUUUGCAGAAUUUGAGAGUGUACAUAAAGCUUCCAAUUUAUCUCGGCAUGUCUUGGUUAUUUUCUGCAAGAACACAGCUAAGAAUCUUUAUUGCUGGGUUUGUUUAGUGUGAAAAUACCACACAUUGCUUCCCUGUGGCUCGCCAAUGUGACUUGUUUAUUUGAGCUAUCUUAGCAGAACCUUCUGUGGGCUCAUUAUCUUACUACCCUUUGGCGUUCCAUACCUACGAUUCGACCUAUGGAAAGUAGAGAUUAUGAAUAUGCAAGUUAUAAUGAUUGAAGGGCAGUAUUGAUUUCUUUUUCUGUAACAGGUUUGGAAGAGCGUAAAAGAUUUGUGCAAACAUAUAUGGGUGCUAAAGGUCAAGCAGCCCAGUGAUGCUGAGGUGGAGAAAUUAGUCCAAGAUGUUGAGAAGUAUACUCUUGCUAGCCAUCUUGUUUGGGGUCUCUCGGGAAUAAUAUCGGAGCAUGUAACUUAAGCCUGAUUUGUCGUUGUUGCUUCCCAGUAAUAAAUGCAUUUGUUACAAGCAGCAGAGAGGCAACAAAUAGUAAAACAGUUAUUAAGAUGGAAAAUGAGAUGAUCUAUGUCCAGCUUAAUAUAUUUACCACACCGAAGUGGGUGGGGGUAUGCUUUGUCAUGCGAUACUCCAGAAGGUGAGGCUUGUGAACUUGUGAAAAACUUGGCUCUGAUGACUCGUGUAACGACAAAGGCCCAUUAAUUUCUUCUAUGGGUUGAAUAGAAGAGUCAGGUUAUUCCCAUAAUUAUCUUCUUUAGGAACAAUUGCUCGAGAUGAAAGAAGAUGUGUUGGUUGUUAUCACUCAGUUGACACGAAACAAUUGUCAAAUAAAAAAGAAUUGUUCGAGAUGAAACAAUUGUUCGAUCUUGUUGGAGUUAAUUAACAAUUGUUCGAGAUGGAAGAGAUUCAAUAUGAAGGAUGGAUGAUGACAUGUACCGGGCUAGAGUCUUCAGUUCAAGCUUCUAGGAAUGAAGGAUCAUGAGCUAGACCAAGACGGUGUCUGCAUAGGCAAAGGUUGUGCAUGAAAUCUGGCUAGAGCCAGGGCAGCAGUAUUUUGAAGGAGAUCCUUUAUCUCAUGGUAAUUAUUUUCUUUCACUCAUCUUUCUUUAAUUCUCAAGUAAUACAUUAAACUAACAGCACAACAACUUGUUAAACGCAAAAGUAAAGUUAAGAGAUUUAUUAGAAGGUCGAUAUAGACAAGGACAACAGAAUCCUAAAAUGUCAAAUAUCUAACUCGAGAAAAAUACCGAUAUUCUAUCUCUUAAUCUCUUGCUUGCAAAAGAAAAGUCAAAUUCUCACUAAAAUGAAACAUUGCUAGCUGAUAAAUGUCGGGGAACAUUAAAGAGGUUCACAAAUGUUUCACCCACACAGGAACUAAAACAGCCAACGAGGAGUUUUGGUCAGGAAAGGAAUUAUUUGAUGUUGAUAAUAAAUGUUAGUGUAGGUUGUGAUCAUGAAUAUCUGAUAUUUGAGUUUUAGGAGUUUUGUAGUUAUUAACGCCACAUGUAUAUGGAUAAAUAGGAGUUUU
Long non-coding RNA from Cucurbita moschata (crookneck pumpkin), 3473 nucleotides. RefSeq lists it as uncharacterized. Lineage: Eukaryota; Viridiplantae; Streptophyta; Magnoliopsida; Cucurbitales; Cucurbitaceae. The transcript is spliced from 13 exons. The record is from RefSeq and is a predicted model, not a curated record.